RNAcentral lists this ribosomal RNA (448 nucleotides) under uncultured Nitrosomonadaceae bacterium. RNAcentral describes it as "bacterial SSU rRNA". It matches the Rfam family "Bacterial small subunit ribosomal RNA", at positions 933 to 1382 of the family's 1533-position model. The record is from RNAcentral. Lineage: Bacteria; Pseudomonadati; Pseudomonadota; Betaproteobacteria; Nitrosomonadales; Nitrosomonadaceae.
UGGAUUAUGUGGAUUAAUUCGAUGCAACGCGAAAACCUUACCUACCCUUGACAUGUCCUGAAGCCUGGAGAGAUCCGGGCGUGCCCGAAAGGGAACGGGAACACAGGUGCUGCAUGGCUGUCGUCAGCUCGUGUCGUGAGAUGUUGGGUUAAGUCCCGCAACGAGCGCAACCCUUGUCAUUAGUUGCUACAUUUAGUUGGGCACUCUAAUGAGACUGCCGGUGACAAACCGGAGGAAGGUGGGGAUGACGUCAAGUCCUCAUGGCCCUUAUGGGUAGGGCUUCACACGUAAUACAAUGGUCGGUACAGAGGGUUGCCAAGCCGCGAGGUGGAGCCAAUCCCAGAAAGCCGAUCGUAGUCCGGAUCGCAGUCUGCAACUCGACUGCGUGAAGUCGGAAUCGCUAGUAAUCGCGGAUCAGCAUGUCGCGGUGAAUACGUUCCCGGGUCUU